Long non-coding RNA from Tarenaya hassleriana, 313 nucleotides. RefSeq lists it as uncharacterized. Lineage: Eukaryota; Viridiplantae; Streptophyta; Magnoliopsida; Brassicales; Cleomaceae. The transcript has 3 exons. The record is from RefSeq and is a predicted model, not a curated record.
CUUUUUCUUCUACCGCCGUGCAUUAUCUCACAUGUCCUCUCUCUUGCUAUCUCUCACGCUCUCCCACAACCCUUUUGCAGGUGAAGAUUAGAGCGAAUCUUUCGGGGUUCAUCGCUUAUACCGAGGUGAAAGGUGAAGCAGAUCAAGUGGUAGACUUGGUAGUUGCAAGAGACGCGAUGCUUUAGAUUUUUAUUUUUAUGAGUUCAGUAUUUUUAGACUUAUGUUAGAAUUUCAUUAUUGAGACUUCCGAUGCAGAUUUUGAGAUGAUAGUAUGGUAUUAAGAAUAAACCGAAUCUUUCUUUUUAAAACCUAA